CACGGAGUUAGCCGAUGCUUAUUCAUAUGGUACCGUCAUCAACGUACACGUACGCCUUAUUCUUCCCAUAUAAAAGCAGUUUACAACCCAUAAGGCAUUCUUCCUGCACGCGGCAUGGCUGGUUCAGUCUUCCGACCAUUGACCAAUAUUCCUCACUGCUGCCUCCCGUAGGAGUCUGGUCCCUGUCUCAGUACCAGUGUGGGGGAUCUCCCUCUCAGGACCCCUACCUAUCGUAGCCUUGGGGUGCCGUUACCACUCCAACUAGCUAAUAGGACGCAUGCCCAUCUUUCACCACCUCAGUUUUAAUUGCCAAAUGAUGCCAUCCAACAAUAUUAUGGGGUAUUAAUCCAAAUUUCUUCGGGCUAUCCCCCUGUGAAAGGUAGGUUGCAUACGCGUUACGCACCCGUGCGCCGGUUUCUGCCCCGAAGGGCUUCUCCCUCGACUUGCAUGUGUUAGGCCUGCCGCUAGCGUUCAUCCUGAGCCAGGAUCAAACUCU
Molecule: ribosomal RNA, 496 nt
Filed under: uncultured Capnocytophaga sp.
Lineage: Bacteria; Pseudomonadati; Bacteroidota; Flavobacteriia; Flavobacteriales; Flavobacteriaceae
Description: partial 16S ribosomal RNA
Source: RNAcentral